Molecule: ribosomal RNA, 468 nt
Filed under: uncultured bacterium
Lineage: Bacteria
Description: partial 16S ribosomal RNA
Rfam family: Bacterial small subunit ribosomal RNA
Source: RNAcentral
GACGAACGCUGGCGGCGUGCUUAACACAUGCAAGUCGAACGGAAAGGCCCUGUUUUUGUGGCGUGCUCGAGUGGCGAACGGGUGAGUAACACGUGAGUAACCUGCCCUUGACUUUGGGAUAACUUCAGGAAACAGGGGUGAUUACCGGAUAUGAGCUCCUGCUGCAUGGUGGGGGAGGGUGAGUGUCGGCGUUUGGGGAUGGACUGGCGGCUUAUCAGCUUGUUGGUGAGGUAGUGGAUUACCACGGCUUUGACGGGUAGCCGGCCUGCGAGGGUGACCGGCCACAUUGGGACUGAGAUACGGGCCAGACUCCAACGGGAGGCAGCAGUGGGGAAUAGUGCGCAAUGGGCGGAAGCCUGAUGCAGCAACGCCGCGUCCGGGAUGACGGCCUUCGGGUUGUAAACCGCUUUCGCCUGUGACGAAGCGUGAGUGACGGUAAUGGGUAAAGAAGCAACGGCUAACUACGUG